Long non-coding RNA from Catharus ustulatus (Swainson's thrush), 891 nucleotides. RefSeq lists it as uncharacterized. The transcript is spliced from 3 exons. The record is from RefSeq and is a predicted model, not a curated record. Lineage: Eukaryota; Metazoa; Chordata; Aves; Passeriformes; Turdidae.
UCUGCAUUGGCAGGUGUGCAAAUGUGGAGACUGUAACAGCAGUGAGUGAGGAUGGAUGAGCUGUUUUCUGGGGUCACAUCCAACUCCAGAGAAGAAACACUGCCUGAAAGACCAUAGUCCUGUCUAGUGAUGAAAGCGCUGUGUUUGGGGAGAAUCCUUGAGAGCUGGCUGUUGUGUAAAUGGAACUCUCCUGGCACUCGUCUCAACCCUCUCCUGUCAACAGAGUUGAUGGUUUUGUUUGCGACAGCUCCCAGCCCUUGCGUGUCCUGUGAGAUGGCCAGGUGACAGCAGUGACUCCAUGUGAGAUUCCCUGUGGGAGCUGGCGUGGUUUCCUCAUGUCCCUCGGAGAUGCCACCCCAGCAGGGAGGAAGAACAGUUGGAAUUGCAGUUGCAGCAAGUGCACUGCAUCAGAGAGGGAGAAUUUGUCAUGGAAAAGUUGUUUGAUUUUUUUUGGCGGUUUUGGUUUGGGUUUUUCCUCUCUGAGAUGGAGAGCCCAUUAAAGGAAGAGACAUGUACAAACUACUCCUUGGAUUUCCCGGCAGGCAGAAUGGAAAGCAGAGCCCACUGGAAGCUCCGCAUUUUCUUUUGCGUUUUCUUGUGGGCACAUGGCUCCAUCAUACAUUUUAGAUAAUAGAUGGUUUGCGUGCAAGGAGUUGUUGGGGUUUUUAAUUAAUCAGUAGAUCCCAGUUUGGCAGAGUCCAUCAUCACUGGGGAAACAGAGGCAUUGGGCUGCCAAAGGACGGACUUGCAGCCACCGGAGUCGGGGAUAAGGUUCGGGGCCACCACAGAUCGAGUCCACGUGCGUCAGAGAUCUGAUUAAAUCAGGAGAUUUGCAUGUUUGUUAAGCUACUACAGCUCGGUGACUUUGACCAGUAGUGAGGCGGACUUGUU